UCCCUUAAGAAAACCGAACCUCAUGAAUUUUUGAGUGUAACACUUAACCCAUACAAAAUCUCCCUGUGGUAUUUUUUGUGAAAUAGUCUGGAAACUUAUAGUUGCUUUCCCUCAAAGCUUGUCUUCUUAUUCUAUUUUUAAAUAAUGAAAGUUUUUAGUGACUUUUAUUUUAUACAGAAUUUUUGGUCAUGGAAUCUUGCACGAAUAAUUUCCUCUGAAACGAUUUGUUGCCAUAUAGCUUAAAGAUCAAGUGCAACUCUUUAAAGAACAAGAGGCACUGUCACAGGUCAUAAACAUUUGUUCACGCCAUUAAAUUUGAACUUAAAAUGCAUUUAGCGAAAUAUCUUUUAUUUUUUUAUUUAUUUAUAUUUACUUCAUAUUUAAUUCAACCGUUUGCAUUUCUUAAGAAUGCUAUUUUGAGGAUUCACUGUUUUUGUUUCUGAGUUGUACAGUGCCUAAAAACACCCAGUUGAGCUGAUAGGUCUGACCAAAUGUUUGCAUCCUUAUGACGUAGUUUUUUGGUUAUAAUUUCAACUUUCAAGGCUUCUCAGAA
Quercus robur (English oak) is the source of this 553-nucleotide long non-coding RNA. RefSeq lists it as uncharacterized. The transcript has 2 exons. Lineage: Eukaryota; Viridiplantae; Streptophyta; Magnoliopsida; Fagales; Fagaceae. The record is from RefSeq and is a predicted model, not a curated record.